UAUUAGUUACUCUCACCUUCCCAUUGACCGUCCUUAUUUAAAACAUUUUUGUGAUUAAUAUUUUUAUUAUUAUUAGAUGAUAAAACAUGAAUAAUAUUUUAUGUAUGGCUUAUUUUUUUUAUUUUUUUCAUAUUUUUUUAAAUAAGACGGGCAAUCAAGCGUUGUAUAUGUAAACCACAACUACAUUUAAA
This is a microRNA precursor of Oryza sativa Japonica Group (Japanese rice), 191 nucleotides long. It matches the Rfam family "MIR812 microRNA precursor family". The record is from Rfam. Lineage: Eukaryota; Viridiplantae; Streptophyta; Magnoliopsida; Poales; Poaceae.